ACAGCAGCCGCCGCGGGAAUACGUGGGUGGCAAGCGUUGUCCGGAAUUAUUGGGCGUAAAGGGCUCGCAGGCGGUUUCUUAAGUCUGAUGUGAAAGCCCCCGGCUCAACCGGGGAGGGUCAUUGGAAACUGGGAAACUUGAGUGCAGAAGAGGAGAGUGGAAUUCCACGUGUAGCGGUGAAAUGCGUAGAGAUGUGGAGGAACACCAGUGGCGAAGGCGACUCUCUGGUCUGUAACUGACGCUGAGGAGCGAAAGCGUGGGGAGCGAACAGGAUUAGAUACCCGGGUAGUCCCUGUCUCUUAUAC
Molecule: ribosomal RNA, 305 nt
Filed under: uncultured bacterium
Lineage: Bacteria
Description: partial 16S ribosomal RNA
Rfam family: Bacterial small subunit ribosomal RNA
Source: RNAcentral